RNAcentral lists this ribosomal RNA (245 nucleotides) under uncultured bacterium. RNAcentral describes it as "partial small subunit ribosomal RNA". It matches the Rfam family "Bacterial small subunit ribosomal RNA", at positions 26 to 285 of the family's 1533-position model. The record is from RNAcentral.
AGAAUCAACGCUGGCGGCGUGCCUAACACAUGCAAGUCGAACGAGAAAGUGGAGCAAUCCAUGAGUAAAGUGGCGCACGGGUGAGUAACACGUGACUAACCUACCUUUUAGUGGGGGAUAACCUAGGGAAACCUGGGCUAAUACCGCAUAACACUUACGAGUCAAAGCAGCAAUGCGCUUGGAGAGGAGUUCGCGGCAGAUUAGUUAGUUGGCGGGGUAAUGGCCCACCAAGACGAUGAUCUGUA